CCUACGGGAGGCAGCAGUGGGGAAUAUUGGACAAUGGGGGGAACCCUGAUCCAGCCAUGCCGCGUGUGUGAAGAAGGCCCUCGGGUUGUAAAGCACUUUCAGUGAGGAAGAACGCCUGGUGGUUAAUACCCAUCAGGAAAGACAUCACUCACAGAAGAAGCACCGGCUAACUCCGUGCCAGCAGCCGCGGUAAUACGGAGGGUGCGAGCGUUAAUCGGAAUUGCUGGGCGUAAAGCGCGCGUAGGUGGCUUGAUAAGCCGGUUGUGAAAGCCCCGGGCUCAACCUGGGAACGGCAUCCGGAACUGUCAAGCUAGAGUGCAGGAGAGGAAGGUAGAAUUCCCGGUGUAGCGGUGAAAUGCGUAGAGAUCGGGAGGAAUACCAGUGGCGAAGGCGGCCUUCUGGACUGACACUGACACUGAGGUGCGAAAGCGUGGGUAGCAAACAGGAUUAGAUACCCUAGUAGUC
Molecule: ribosomal RNA, 465 nt
Filed under: Vreelandella stevensii
Lineage: Bacteria; Pseudomonadati; Pseudomonadota; Gammaproteobacteria; Oceanospirillales; Halomonadaceae
Description: partial 16S ribosomal RNA
Rfam family: Bacterial small subunit ribosomal RNA
Source: RNAcentral